GGGUAUUGUUCGGUUUUGCUGUGAGGAGGAAGAGGACCUGCGUUUUGGAUAACUGCGUUUUGAGCCAAGGAGAAGAUGAGGGAUUUGGGUAUAGGGUUGUGAUCGAUACUUAGUUUUUGGGACGUGUUAGUGCAAUAAUGUUUGUGAGAAGUGGUUCUUCUAUUUACACUGCUGGUGCUGAAGGGAUGAUUUGUGAAAUCGAUUCACUGACAGCAGCAAAGGUUUCUGUUAAGUCUGGAGUUUGUAUAUAUUGAAGUUAGUACAACAAAUCUUGGUAUUAUUGCUGGUGUGGCUGCUCUAAUUUUGGGAUCCAAGAAGUUACCUGAAUUGGGCAAGAGGUUAUGAAGACUAUCAAGAGUUUCUAACAGUCAAGGGAGAUUAGAGUUGCUUGGAGAGUGGAGAGCUAAAAGUGGUGUUUUCUUGAUUGGCUAGACAAAUUUGUCAUUCGGCUCUGAGUUCUUUUCUUUGGUUGCACGCACUAAAAGGUAGUUUCUGUAUUUUAACAUAGCAUUCAAUAUGCAACUCUUUUUAAAUUUUCAGCAACUGAGAUAUUCAGGGCUGCCACUUGAAUUAUUCCUAUUAUUGUUCCUUUUAUUUUGAGAGUUUCCAUAAUAUCCAAGAUGGUUAACCUGAUAUUGCAUUAAAUAUUUUCUUCAUACCUGUAAGCGUUGAGAUGAAUUUUUGUCAAAUCUUUU
Molecule: long non-coding RNA, 695 nt
Filed under: Rosa chinensis
Lineage: Eukaryota; Viridiplantae; Streptophyta; Magnoliopsida; Rosales; Rosaceae
Description: sRNA RchiOBHm_Chr1g0374321
Source: RNAcentral